RNAcentral lists this ribosomal RNA (500 nucleotides) under uncultured bacterium. RNAcentral describes it as "partial 16S ribosomal RNA". It matches the Rfam family "Bacterial small subunit ribosomal RNA", at positions 28 to 507 of the family's 1533-position model. The record is from RNAcentral.
GACGAACGCUGGCGGCGUGCUUAACACAUGCAAGUCGAACGGGUCUGCCCUGUUUUUUGCGGGGUGGGUCAGUGGCGAACGGGUUAGUAACACGUGAGUAACCUGCCCCUCACUUCUGGAUAACCGCUUGAAAGGGUGGCUAAUACGGGGUGUUCUGGCUGCGCCGCAUGGUGUGGCUGGGAAAGAUUCACUUUUGUGGUGUUUUGGUGGGGGAUGGGCUCGCGGCCUAUCAGCUUGUUGGUGGGGUGAUGGCCUGCCAAGGCUUGGACGGGUAGCCGGGCUGAGAGGGUGGGCGGUCACACUGGGACGGAGAUACGGACCAGACUCCUGCGGGAGGCAGCAGUGGGGGGUAUUGCACAAUGGGCGGAAGGCUGAUGCAGCGACGUCGCGGGAGGGAUGGAGGCCGUCGGGUUGUGAACCUCUUUCGCCGGUGAAGAAGGUCCUGCUCUUUGUGGUGGGGUUGACGGUAGCCGGGUUAUGAAGCGCCGGCUAACUACGUG